RNAcentral lists this ribosomal RNA (393 nucleotides) under uncultured crenarchaeote. RNAcentral describes it as "bacterial SSU rRNA". It matches the Rfam family "Archaeal small subunit ribosomal RNA", at positions 268 to 664 of the family's 1478-position model. The record is from RNAcentral. Lineage: Archaea; Thermoproteati; Thermoproteota.
GCGGGCCGUGGGAGCGGGAGCCCGGAGAUGGGUACUGAGACAAGGACCCAGGCCCUACGGGGCGCAGCAGUCGCGAAACCUUUGCAAUACACGAAAGUGUGACAGGGCUAUCCCGAGUGCCAUCCGCUGAGGAAGGCUUUUACCCAGUCUAGAACGCUGGGGGAAUAAGGAGAGGGCAAGUCUGGUGUCAGCCGCCGCGGUAAUACCAGCUCUCCGAGUGGUGUGGACGUUUAUUGGGCCUAAAGCAUCCGUAGCUGGCUGAACAAGUCCCCUGUUAAACCCACCGAUUUAAUCGUUGGUCUGCGGGGGAUACUGCUCGGCUAGGGGACGAGAGAGGCAGACGGUAUUCCCGGGGUAGGGGUGAAAUCCUAUAAUCCCGAGAAGACCACCAGU